UAAACGAUGUCGACUUGGAGGUUGUGCCCUUGAGGCGUGGCUUCCGGAGCUGACGCGUUAAGUCGACCGCCUGGGGAGUACGGCCGCAAGGUUAAAACUCAAAUGAAUUGACGGGGGCCCGCACAAGCGGUGGAGCAUGUGGUUUAAUUCGAUGCAACGCGAAGAACCUUACCUGGUCUUGACAUCCACGGAAGUUUUCAGAGAUGAGAAUGUGCCUUCGGGAACCGUGAGACAGGUGCUGCAUGGCUGUCGUCAGCUCGUGUUGUGAAAUGUUGGGUUAAGUCCCGCAACGAGCGCAACCCUUAUCCUUUGUUGCCAGCGGUCCGGCCGGGAACUCAAAGGAGACUGCCAGUGAUAAACUGGAGGAAGGUGGGGAUGACGUCAAGUCAUCAUGGCCCUUACGACCAGGGCUACACACGUGCUACAAUGGCGCAUACAAAGAGAAGCGACCUCGCGAGAGCAAGCGGACCUCAUAAAGUGCGUCGUAGUCCGGAUUGGAGUCUGCAACUCGACUCCAUGAAGUCGGAAUCGCCAGUAAUCGUGGAUCAGAAUGCCACGGU
This 560-nucleotide ribosomal RNA is filed under the name Shigella sp. RNAcentral describes it as "bacterial SSU rRNA". It matches the Rfam family "Bacterial small subunit ribosomal RNA", at positions 803 to 1363 of the family's 1533-position model. Lineage: Bacteria; Pseudomonadati; Pseudomonadota; Gammaproteobacteria; Enterobacterales; Enterobacteriaceae. The record is from RNAcentral.